RNAcentral lists this ribosomal RNA (468 nucleotides) under uncultured bacterium. RNAcentral's name for it is "partial 16S ribosomal RNA". It matches the Rfam family "Bacterial small subunit ribosomal RNA", at positions 28 to 507 of the family's 1533-position model. The record is from RNAcentral.
GACGAACGCUGGCGGCGUGCUUAACACAUGCAAGUCGAACGGAAAGGCCCUGCUUUUGUGGGUUGCUCGAGUGGCGAACGGGUGAGUAACACGUGUGUAACCUGCCCUUGUCUUUGGGAUAACUUCUGGAAACUCGGGCUAUUACCGGGUAGGAGCUCCUGCUGCACGGGGGGGGUUGGAGAGUUUCGGCGGUUGGGGAUGGACUCGCGGGUUAUCAGCUUGUUGGUGUGGUAGUGGCUUACCAAGGCUUUGACGGGUAGCCGGCCUGAGAGCGUGGACGGCCACAUUGGUACUGAGAUAGGGCCCAGACUGCUACGGGAGGCAGCAGUGGGGAAUAUUACACAAUGGGCGGGCGUCUGAUGCAGCAACGCCGCGUGCGGGAUGACGGCCUACGGGUUAUAAACCGCUUUCGCCUGUGACGAAGCGUGAGUGACGGUAAUGGGUAAAGAAGCACCGGCUAACUACGUG